GUCUACAGCCAUGCUACCCUGAACAAGCCCGAACUCGUCUGAUCUCAGAAGCUAAGCAGGGUCGGGCCUGGUUAGUACUUGGAUGGGAGACCAUCUAGGAAGACCAAGUGCUGUAGGCG
RNAcentral lists this ribosomal RNA (119 nucleotides) under Pteropus alecto (black flying fox). The record is from RNAcentral. Lineage: Eukaryota; Metazoa; Chordata; Mammalia; Chiroptera; Pteropodidae.